RNAcentral lists this unclassified non-coding RNA (2191 nucleotides) under Hevea brasiliensis (rubber tree). The record is from RNAcentral. Lineage: Eukaryota; Viridiplantae; Streptophyta; Magnoliopsida; Malpighiales; Euphorbiaceae.
AAAAAAAAAAAGCAAUUGAUCAAUCAUGUAUCUGUUUUAUAUGUCUUCAAGUUAGAAAAGAUAAUUAAUAAGGUAAAACAUUAGUUCUUGAUAGGCUCAUUUUUAAGCCAUAUAUGGAGAACAUAAGUGAGAUUGUAUAGAGGUCAAGUUAAUUAAUAGCCUUAGAUUUCUAAAACAUUGAACUAGUGAAUGAUUCAGCCAGAUAGACAAUGUUCCAUUACACAAAUUCAUGGUUGCCAAAUAUGCAUUUGUUGACUAGAUUUUCACAACCAUGAUACAGCAAUGCCUUUCUAAUCAAAGGUUCUAGAUUCAGAAUAAACAUAACGUAGAGAUGGACAUGUGCUUGUUCAUAUUCCAAGUUCAAAAGUUUUUAAUCUAUUUUUGACUUCUCACUUAUUGAGUACUUCCUUAGAGAAAAUUCUACACUGCACCAGGAGCAUGGUAAAUUAAUAUGGUACUUCCUCACUUAUAUAAAAGUGGGUCUCCUAUAAAAUAAAGAGAGUGGACUCUACUUUUGUGAUUGUGAGAGUGAGGGUGAGGCAGCUAAUUUCUUUUUUCGUAGUCCUUAAUAAAUUUCAACUUGUGAGAGACAAUAUGAGAUAUAAAGAGUUAGGAAUGGUACUAAUUAAUUGAGGCUCAGUCAUAUUGAAGUUAUUUACAGAAUCAAAACCUUUCCUUCUCUCUCCUAACUUGACAGACAAUUCUUGCUAUUUUUCGUAAAGUUCUCCAAGCGAGAUUCGAAUUUAGGACCUCUUAAUGCUUUAAGUCUUUACUAUAGUGAGUUUUUGGAAAGAUCAUAUUACUUCUGCUGCACAUAAAAGUAGUGUUAUCUUUCUCUCACAAAAAUAUGAGCCCUCUUUAUAAUAUGAAAAAUGGUCCCAUAUGAUUGGGAGAGCCGAUAUAUGUAUACUUGGUGCACUUAAUACAUAUUUGUCAUCAUAAGUAUUUUAUAUAUAUAUAUGUGUAGUAAUGAAUUUAGCUUAUGUUGUGGAGGAAAAUUCUACUGCAAUGAUUUCAGCUUUUUGAAUUUGUAAAUCCUGUAUAAUCAUUUAUAUGAGUACGUUCCUCAUAUGAUUUGUGCAUGCUUGCAUGAAUUUUCUUGUGAGCAUGAGCCCUGAGAAGAUUAUAUUUAUAGGCAUAACCAAAGUCAAAAAUGUACAUUUCUCGUUUCCAAAGAAAAUUUUGCUCCUAUCAGUGCCCUUCUUGCCGACUUGGAUUAGGCUACUACCUAUAGUAUUUUGGCAACAGAUCUACCUAUAGCUACUUUUGAAGUUAUGGGAAUUUUUUGCCUAUAGACCUGUUCAACAAGGAUCAAGAUGUAAGUAUGUAGGAUUAAUGUAUUUAAUAAGUGAAUCUCACUACUUAUUUUGUAUUUCGAGACUACGAUGGAUCAGAUUUAGCAAAAAAGAAAAAAAGUAAGUGAAGUUAUAGGCUUAGAAACCUUUUUGCUGUGGCGUUGAGGCUUAUAUAAGAAUGGGUAUCUUGGUCAUUCUAUUUGGACUCCAUGUAGCAUAUAUCAUUUUCUUUGUAUGUGGAUUCUUGCAUUAUGCUUUCCAACUUUUAUAUAAGAAAAUUACUCAAUGCAAAUCUUUAUACCCUGGUUUAAUAUUCUGACCAUUAAUUAUGAUACAUUCAAUAUGAAUCUUUUCAUGAUUUAACAGUAAAAUUACAUUCAUUAUACCCAUAAUAAUUACAUUAAAUUAAUAAUUAUUAUUUUAUAUGGUUGAUCUUCGACUUUUUCUGAUAUUUUGAACUUUUAAGCAUGUGGCUGGCUGCUUCUUGAACUUUUCCCUUUUACUCUAUAGCCCCUUUAGUUUUUGAGCAGGUACAUGGCAUGGGUGAAAAUUUCACCAACUUUUUCACACUCCAAAGCCAAAAGCAUUUUCCUCUUGUAAAAAACAAACUUAAAAGCAUUUUUGGUCUUUGUGUCAGAUUUUUCUAUUUUGUAAGAGAUUUCUUCAUUUGGGUGUCCAAGAGUUAGUGUUCCCCGCAGUAUGCAACACAGAGGAAGAGGAAAAAAAAUUUUCAACUCAGUUACUUAGUUUAAUAGUACUGAAAUUGCUUCCACAAUUUUAAAAUUUUGAAUUUAUAUGUAUAUAUAUGCAGGAGCUAUUAUCGAUGUACACAAGAUAAUUGUCGUGUAAAGAAGCGAGUGGAGAGAUUAGCUGAGGACCCAAGAAUGGUGAUAACA